UUAGAGCUUCACUCCCAUCUUACAUAUACAUGGAUCUCGUCUCGUGUGAACUGCUGCGGAUCAGUCGGGGGCCAUAAGACCCUUGCGCGCUGCGCAGCGGUGGGCGGUGGCCGGUGGCAAUGGCGCCCACGACUUGCCUCCGGAUCCCCUUCCUCCCCGCCCGAGGCCGCUCCGCUAACGUCAACGCCCCUCCGUCCUGGCUCCCCCGCCGCCUUUCUCUCAAAUCCAGCGCGACCAACGGUGACAAUUCCCUCCCCAAUCCCAUCUCCACCUCUCCCACCUCGCCGCCUUGGUUAACGGUGGUGGACGUUAACGGGUUGCGUCGCCCGCCCGCGCCUGUUUCCGCCCCUACCAUCCCCGGCGACCGCGGUCCCCGGUGGCUGCCUCGGCCGUUCACUAGCGCGGACGUCAUGGGGGCGGAUUGGAAGGGGCUCAAGGUUGCUUACCAGGGUUGCGCUGGGGCGUACAGCGAAGCGGCAGCAAAGAAGGCAUACCCAAAUUGUGAGGCUGUGCCCUGUGAGCACUUUGACACUGCAUUUCAGGCUGUUCAAAACUGGGUAGUUGAUAGGGCAGUGCUGCCACUUGAGAAUUCAUUGGGAGGUAGCAUACAUCGGAACUAUGAUCUAUUGGUUCAGCAUAGUUUGCACAUUGUCGGAGAAGUUCGCCUUGAGGUUCACCAUUGCUUGUUAGCCAAUCCUGGUGUGAAGAUUGAAAAUCUGAAAAGUGUUAUGAGCCAUCCCCAGGCUCUUGCGCAAUGUGAACACACAUUAACAGGACUAGGAAUUGAACAUAGAGAGGCUGUUGACGACACUGCUGGUGCAGCAAAGAUUGUUGCAGAACAUAUGGUCCAGGAUACUGGUGCUAUUGCUAGUUCAUUGGCUGCUAAACUCUAUGGAUUGGAUGUUCUUGCUGAGAAUAUUCAGGAUGGCAAAAAUAAUGUCACCCGUUUUAUGAUGCUAGCUCGAAAACCCAACAUUCUUCGCAAUGAUAGACCAUUUAAGACAAGCAUAGUCUUUUCACUAGAAGAAGGACAUGGACAACUCUUUAGGGCGCUUGGUGUAUUCGCACAGAGGAAAAUCAACCUCACAAAGAUCGAAAGUCGUCCACACAAGGAGAGGCCUCUUCGAGUAUCUGAUGACUGUUCCUCACUCUUAAAGAAUUUUGAUUACCUCUUUUACGUUGACCUUGAAGCAUCAAUGGCUGAUCCAAAGAUUCAGAAUGCUCUUGGAAAUCUGAAGGAGUUUGCAACCUUUUUAAGAGUCCUCGGAAGCUAUCCUACAAAUGUGAAUGAACCUUAGAAAACACUGCAGAUUACAUGAUGAAUCUGCCGUGUCGUCACGACGGGAGGAACCCGCCGCUUCCUAAGACCGUGUCCAGCAGUUCACCCAUAUGGUCGCUCAAAACACCGUUUCGCAUUAUAAACUGCACUGUUCGCAUAGUGGAGGUUGAAUAUGUAAGCUGCUGGAGAAAGCCUAAAGCCUAAACCAUGCAUACUACUUUAUCUUCAUUCGCACGCAAGCUCCGCGAUAGCCAAAUUAUUGUGGUAGUUGGAUUAUCCAGGAAUCCAGAUUCUCAGAAAAGCUCUUCAGAGAAAGCUAUCCCAAACAGGUCCUUAAUCUCUCUAACCCACACUUUGUUUCAAUAGCUUGGGCCACUGUUUUAGAAGAGCCUUUUUGUCCACCUUAGGGAUCACAUCUUUUUUCUCGAAAACUGUUGGGACAGGAAACUGCGGGCCCAAACACUUGAACGCGGUGAGACAGGUGGCACGACAAAACAGUGAGCUGGGAGCGUGUAAUGUCUUGUCAAGUGUGUCCUGUGCCGGGGUCGGUGGACGGGGGUAUUUAUAUGGGUAGCCUGGGUCAGUGGACCUAAGUACGAUAAUACCCCCGGCUAAAUGAUUUAUCUCUCAUAUCUCAGCUGCUAGAUGCUUUUUGGUCAUGCCUCUGGACUACGGACUAUUUUCAGUAAAAGCUCGAUGACUCCCCUUAAUUGUACUGAUGCUGAUUCGCUUCUCCUUUCUGGGCUCAUCGAUUGCGAGAUCAAGGGCUUUCCUUGCAAAUACCUUGGAGUACCUCUCACAAUUCAGAAAUCGACAAAGGCUGAUCUGCUGCCAUUGAUAGAUAAAAUAGCAGCUAGCCUCCCAAUUUGGAAGGUUUCUGUGUUGAGCCGAGCUGGGUGUCUGGUUGUGGUCCGUGCUGUCUUCACUGCCAUUCCUAUCCACCAUAUGAUGGCUAUGGAUCUCCCUAAGUGAGUCAUUAGAGCAAUUGUUAAACUUCGAUGGGGAUUCUUAGGGGCAGGCCGCCAAAAUGCUAAUGGAGGUAAUUGCCUUGUCUCUUGGGAAAAGGUUCAGACGCCGUUACAGUAUGGUGGUCUUGGGAUACUCAACCUUGAAUCAAUGGGAUGGGCCUUGCGCAUCCAUUGGUUGUGGCUACAAAAAACGGAUUCUUCUCGACCUUGGGAAGGGCUGCCUUUUCAGGUACCCCGUAAUGCCCAUGCUCUCUUUGAUGUUGCCCUGGAGACCAAGGUUGGGGAUGGUGAGGCCACUAAAUUCUGGACAGAUUGUUGCCUGCACGGUUGCCCUGUAGGUGAGCUGGCCCCUAAUCUCUUUCAGGUAAUUCCUAAACGAGCAAGGAGACAACGCACUGUUUCUCAAGCGUUGGGCUGCAGGUCUUGGACUGCUGAUAUCCAGGGUGCCCUCACUGUGCCUCACUGUACAGGUGCUUGUCGAAUACUUGAAGCUCUGGGAAGUAGUUGAUGAUUUUACCUUGCAGCCGGCUGUUUCAGAUCAGCACAUAUGGAAGCUAACAAAUCCAGGGCUGUACACUUUUAAAUCUGCUUACAACGCCUUCUUUGUGGGUUCAGUUAAGUUUGCACCUUGGAAAAGGAUUUGGAAAACUUGGGUCUCUCUUUGAUGCAAGUUCUUCAUUUGGUUAGCAAUCAAGAACAGGUGUUGGACAGAAGAUAACCUGUCAAAACAUGGGCUGCUGCACCACCGUCUUUGCCUCCUUUGUGAUCAAGAUGUGGAGAAUAUACAACACAAAUGGAAAAAUAAACAGAAUAACUGUGUGGCACUGUUUUUAAUCGAGAUUCGGUCUAGACUACUUUGGCUGGCCUGCCAAUUCUUUUCUCUCCCCCGCAAGCGCAUUAGGCCGAAACUUGGGCUGGGCUGGGCCAUGAAAGCCUCCUUUGCCUGGGCUGAAAUGGCUCCAAUCUCCCUACGCUCUCGGAUCGGAAUCGGACGGUCAUCCCUCACUGGUAUUCGUCCUGGCUAGGUAUAAAACAUGUUAUUUUUGGUCGAGGGAAACCCUAAAACAUUUUCUUUUUGCCCUGCGUGGCGUUCUCCACUCUCCUCUCCCUCUCCCGAGCACCUCUCCUUCCUCCACUUUCUCCCCAACUCCGGUGAGCGAGAGUGUGGUCACGACACAAUCAUGGCGCUGCCCGUGGGGCCAAUCGUCGGUGCGCGAGCUCCCCUUCGGGGUGAGCAUGUCACCGUCGAGCGACCUCUUGGCGGUGCCCUAGUGUCCUGUGCGUGGCGUUAUGUACCGGUGGCUGCGUUGUUUCUACCCAGUCGUCUGCAAACAAGAUUAGCAGGAAUGGACGAAAUGGUUUGAGUUGGUUCUCUGAGCAGGUUGACAAGUGAGGACCUCUAUGAAGCUGAUGCUAACAUUUACAGAGCAAAAGGAUCUAUAUUAGAGCAGUAUAGAAGGGUGGAUGUGAGGCUUACAUUGGUUGUGAGCUUGAAAGGGAAUUUGUUGUUUGGCUGGUGAGGUUCUUUUGACUUCUGAUGCAACGAGGAUAGCUGAAAUAGCAAUCUUCUUCAAUGUCUUAUUAUGCGGGAGCUUGAAAAUACUUCAAUUUAUAAGUUUAUAGGUUUUCAUGUUGGAGCAUCUUUGUCAUGGUAGCAUGUAGGUUGCUAAAAUAGUCAGUGGAAUAAUGAGACAAUGUCUAAGAACACUUGUCUUUUUUUUAGGACAGUAUAAUAAGAACUGACGUUUCCAUGUCCAUAUGGACGUUCCACAAAAAUCUUAUUUGCUGUCAUGAUGGGCUCUAUUCAUCUGGUGGUGGCCAAACCUCUGCCAAACUUUACUUCUGUAGGAGAAAAUAAUUUGUUGCUCCUUGUACUUUUCUAUUGAUGAAACGGAAUUUGGUGCCCCUUGUUUGCCUUGAUCUGUGCCAGGUCAAAUUGGGCUGUUCAA
Molecule: RNA transcript, 4196 nt
Organism: Zea mays
Lineage: Eukaryota; Viridiplantae; Streptophyta; Magnoliopsida; Poales; Poaceae
Exons: 13
Source: RefSeq, marked provisional